This is a long non-coding RNA of Tripterygium wilfordii, 407 nucleotides long. RefSeq lists it as uncharacterized. Lineage: Eukaryota; Viridiplantae; Streptophyta; Magnoliopsida; Celastrales; Celastraceae. The transcript is spliced from 3 exons. The record is from RefSeq and is a predicted model, not a curated record.
AUAUGGAAAAGGAAAUUAGGUCGUGGGAUUCCAGCAACCUUUCUUCCUCAACCCGAAAGCUCAACUGUCUAACACCCCCCGCAAGCUAAGCAUGAUCGUCGAUGAUGCUUAGCUUGGAGAGUAGGUGUUGUAUACGACGAACUGAGAGAGCUUUUGUCAAAAGAUCUGCAGGUUGAUCAACCGAUUUCAGGUUCCCGAUGAGCAGAUAUGGCAGCACUAAAAUGUAUAUUAGAUGCAGUAGAAUGAUCAUGUAUGGAAGAUGAAACAAUAUCACAAUGAUAAUCUGAUAAGCAAGCUGGAGGAUAUGCUUCCCAGAAUUUGAGAAGAAAUAGAGUUGGUUAUCCAUGUCUUUAUCAAGCUGUUGGCUUGUUUCCACAGCAGAUAAGAAGGAUCAUGAAGUUCUGGAA